Molecule: long non-coding RNA, 1888 nt
Organism: Physcomitrium patens
Lineage: Eukaryota; Viridiplantae; Streptophyta; Bryopsida; Funariales; Funariaceae
Source: RefSeq, a predicted model, not a curated record
AUCGCAGGUUCUCUGCUGGGUAUGAUUCCUCGUUCUAGUCACAACUACGACGAGCUCAAAGAACGGCUGUAUUACGAUGCCCAUGCAUCUAAUAAAUUUAGUAUAUCAAAAAUCUAAUGCAUGUAGAUUUUUCGAAUGUUUGUGAAGGAUAAACAGGUUCAGGUCGAUGGGAACUUGAAGGCAUCAAUUUGUGUGGGCAAUUAAUAGAUACUUUAGUGGGCUCAUGAGCUGUGGUAUAAAACUUUCGCAUGUGCUGCACAACUCUCGUCUUUCUCAAAUUACCCACCACCGUAUCGAGCUUCCUUUCAAAGCCGAGUCUUUUCGGCCUUGAAUUAUCCCUUGAUGAGCUCUGAAAAUGAUUAGUCUCCCAGUCCCUCACUUGGAUUUGAGAUUAGUGCUUUCAAGAUCAAGGCUGUUGUUUGUUUGACAGGAUCUUACAACAUGACGGAGUUUCAUUUGGCUUCACAGAUCAGUUUUCACUAACGAUGAGGCUGCUAGGAUAAGGGUAAGGCUCCUCCAUCUUGGGUUUUCGUUUCCAGAUUGCUGUGGCUUCGGCAGCCUGGGUGGAGGCGGUGGCGGUUUCAGCUGAAGUGAAGGAAAAUUCGGAAGAGGUGUUGAAAGUCGAUCCUAGGGUACCAUACAUUGUGCUUCUGAAGGGCUUGGUUGAAACCAUGAAGUGGCGAUCGAGAGUGAGAUUUCACUGGGUUGCCUUGCUGCUGUUGCGGCCAUCUGGCUGCAGAGAGAUGAAUUCGUAACUAUUGCAGCGAAUACCUAUUGCAGAUGGACAAGAUUAAUGUCCGGGGAGAAUUCAAAUCCAGUUACGGACGAACUCAUUGCAAACAAACUUCAAGUUCCAGGGAGAAAUGGUCAGUCUCAGAGCAAAUUUACGCCGAAGCAAAAUCCGAGAUAGGGCAGCAGGCAAUCGGUUAAGUUUAAAAUUUGGAAUCCCAACCAGCUCUUCUCAAAUUUCGCCUCAAACACAUGCAGGUUGCUCUGGAGGGCAAGGGAGAAAUGUAGCAGCGCAAUCUAGUUCACAUACUGGAGACUGCGGGGGUGACACACAAAUUACAAAUAGAGCAACCAGAGGACCACUCCAGUUGGAUGGCAAUGAAACCCUACCUUUGGAAUGAGCUCUCUGAUUUCAUGUAAUCAAGCUUAAGCUCUCCCGGUAAUGGUCAUAUAGUUCCAGCUUUUGAAGUCUUCAGGUCUUCAAGGGUUGGCUUUGCUACUUUUUGCAAAACAAGUGCAUCUUCAUGUUGAGUGCCUCUCCUGUUCAUGCUCGAACCCCAACAAUCAGAAACACAAUUCUCUUCUGCACAUUUAACUACUAUUGAAGUUGCCAUCGUAAUGUCAUCAUAUUGGCAAUUUCAUGCUUUGUCGAUCGGCGUUAUCUUUUCUCCAUUUCUGGUGUUAACCCUGUGCUUUGAGAAGUUUUAGCAGGGAUACUGGAGUUCACAAAUACUCUACCUGCAGCUCGCUUGUUCAAAGCUCAAUGGCAGCCAGCACUCUGCACAUCAACACGUGCUCAAUCAGGUGCGUACACCUGAUUCUCGCCUUCCUUAACUGAACCGUGACCAUUACUUGUCGACAGUGUUUUGUGUUUUUUUUAAUUAGUUUGCACGAUUCUUGGCAUGAUUCUUAUCGGCUAGAUGACAAUGUCUAGAUCAGAAGCUCCCCACAACCCGAGAGCCUCUACAGGUGGGUCAUUCUGAACCUCAAUACGGACGCCGUUGUUGAUGCGAGACACAACGUUGUGACUGCAGUGACGGUGUGUUCUUGAAUCUUUUGGAACUUCUUUGAAGCUGAUUUAGUUUCUUAUUAAACAUGUUGUGUAUGUUUUUGGAAGAUGGACUUCCACCAAAAUUUAAAAGGUUUCCAAUCAUAUCAA